AUUUAUUUUGAAUUAUCCCCACAUUUAUCAUGUAUUAAUGCUAAAAAGUUAUUAUGUUUAUUCAUUUUUUAAGUUCUGUGAAAUUACUUUUUAAUUGUUUUUUAUAUUAAUUUCCUAUAUCUAAACAAAAAAUAAACAUGCUAUUUAACGUUUAUGUGUAAAUUUAAUAUGUGGUAAUUAGUUAUAAUCUGUAUUUUUAAAACAUUAUAUAAGAGGUUUGUUUUUGAAAACAAUCUAUGUAGUUUCAUUAUUCUUUGCCAUUUUGCUGUAGUAAUAGUUCACAAAUAUCAAAAUGCAAGGAAUACUUAUUUCAGUUCUUUUUUCUGUAUUUUUAAGUACAGUGGUAUUUUCUCCAAGCAUUGCAGAGGAUAAUAAAGUAAUUUGUGGUGUUAAUGAAACUUAUGAAGCUUGUGGUUCUUUUUGUGUGGCACAUUGCGUAAAUCGUCAAUUCACAACCUGUAAACCAGGUUGUAACCCUGGAUGUUUCUGUAAAGAAGACUAUAUUCGUCGUACACCUGAUGGCCCUUGUAUCGAAUAUUCAGAUUGCAGAUUUUUAAAUUUAUAACUGAUGAUAUAUGAUUCAAUGUGAAUUUUUAUGAUCGUUGAAUUUUUAAAUUUGAUAAAACUCUUUUCCAAAGCUUAUCAUUCUUUAUUCUGUAAUAAAUAUUGUUUUUAAAGUUAGCUUCGUAACUAUUUAUAUUAAUGUAUUAUAAAUGUGUAAUAAAAGAUUUAUUAAAAUAAACCAUUAACAAACUA
This is a long non-coding RNA of Sitophilus oryzae (rice weevil), 756 nucleotides long. RefSeq lists it as uncharacterized. The transcript is spliced from 2 exons. NCBI's taxonomy places the organism in Eukaryota, Metazoa, Arthropoda, Insecta, Coleoptera, Curculionidae. The record is from RefSeq and is a predicted model, not a curated record.